Molecule: long non-coding RNA, 1077 nt
Filed under: Marmota monax (woodchuck)
Lineage: Eukaryota; Metazoa; Chordata; Mammalia; Rodentia; Sciuridae
Source: RNAcentral
CUUACUGGUAUAGUUAUCAAGGCUGAGAAUUUAAUGUUGAAAUUCAUGAAUAUGUUGAACCUCACAAGUACAUGGGCCCAGAGUAGGAAAACAGAAUUUUAUUUACUGAUAAUAGCAUUUAACAAUUAAGAACUGCAAUCAGACAGAGAGAUUGGGAUUUGUAUAAUUAGACAAAAUAUUUUAAUACAAACACUCCUCUGGACAGUUCUUUACCUUAUCCUGGGGAAGAGCUACCCUUGAUAGCCCUGAGCUCCCCCUCCUUGUCCUGAGCUCCCUGAGUCCCCUGAGUCCUCUGCUGAUUCUGAGAUCCCCCUGCUGGUCCUCAGAUCCUUGCUGGUUCUCAGCUCCACCUGGUGGUCCUUAGAUCCCCAUGGUGGUCUUGAGCUUCCCCUGCAGGCAGGUGAGUGACUGGGCUCACACUGAGUUCCCUCACUGGGUGUCUCCCACUGGAAUACACAGCCAUAUCCUCAGGUUUUAAGCUGUUGAGUUCUAAUGAUACCUGGCUCUUGGAAAUGUCCCUGGUGAUGUUGACUCUCAACAGUAUUGAUUUCAAUCCCUGCAGGUGCAAUUGGGAAGGACAUCGGGGGAAAAGAACCAGCAUAUGCUCAGGUCCAUCAGGGAGUCCUCAGGACCAGCAGGGGGUUCAGGAACAGGUGUGUAGUGGUAUGUGCUUCCACCACUAAAUGUUCUUCUAUCAUACUCCAGGCCCUUCCCAGGAUCUUGGCAGAUCCAACUCAGACCAUAGGUGGGAAGUAAGAAUCCAGUGAUAGCACAGGUGAGGGACAGGGUGUGCAAGAGGUUCACCAGGCCAGGUCUCAACUCCUGGGCUGCACUUGGGACAUGACACCUGGUACAAGAAACAUCACCUCUUGUUAAUCACACUAGCACCUGCAUAACCACAACCUUCUCAUGAAAUCCUUGUACAUUCUCAAAGUGAGGUGUCACCAGGCAGAGGAGCAGCACCAGAACCUCCAGGCUGCAAUGAAGAACUAAUGAGAAGGAGACGGGGGCUGCUCAGCCAAGGCUCCUCUUUCAGCUUGAGAUUAGGAGCUGCUUUGCAUGAGGGAGUGCUGGGAG